CUUCUCCUAAAACCAAAGGAUUUUCAAUUUUUCAUUAAGACGUAGCUCAGAGGGCUGAGAAGAUCAGAAGAAGUAGAAAGGCUAUAAUACCAGAGGGUGUUCUUCACCAUUUCCUUCCUCCUCUGAAAGCACGUGAAAGACUCAUGAAGAACAAGAGCGCGCCGUGGAGCAUGAUGUUCCUAGUGUUCCUCGGGCAGCUAGUCUCCUUCUCCAUGGCAGUAUGCAGCUUUAUCACGUCUCAGAUUUCUAGCCUCGGAGCUGAUGCACCAUUUACGCAAUCAUUCCUUUCGUACCUUCUGUUGGCCCUGGUUUAUGGACCAGUUCUCCUGCAUCGACAACGCAAGUUUCUAAUGCCAUGGUAUUGGUACCUCGCCCUGGCCUUCAUUGAUGUCCAGGGAAAUUGUCUAGCGAUCAAGGCAUAUCACUACUCAUAUAUCACCAGCGUAAACUUGUUGAACUGUUGGACCAUCACAUGGGUCAUGAUCCUCACCAGGUUUGCACUAGGCACAAGAUAUUCUUUGUGGCAAUUUGUAGGAGCAGGGACUUGCAUGACUGGACUUGCCCUGGUACUCCUCUCGGAUUCAAAUUAUUCAGAUGUGCAGGAUGAAAGUAAAAGACCACUUCUGGGGGAUGCCCUUAUCAUUGUGGCGACAUUUUGUUUUGCAUUUAGCAAUGUUGGGGAGGAAUACUGUGUCAAGAACAAAGACAGGAUUGAAUUCGUUGCGAUGCUUGGAAUAUUUGGGAUGCUUGUCACUGGAAUUCAGCUAUCUCUUUUUGAGAGGAAGAAUAUAGAGACAAUUAAUUGGUGGUCACCAACAAUGAUAGGUCUCUUCAUUGGAUUUGCAGUAGCAUCUUUAGUGUUCAGCUCCAUUGCUCCUUUCGUUCUUAAGGUUAAGUUUCUACAAGUUGUUCAGACUUCAGACAUUUUUUUAGUGAUGAAAAUGACAUCUUGGGACAUAUCACAUCCCCAUUUACUAGUUCAAAAAGGCUUCCAUGGUCAUCUAACAGUGUCUCAGUUAGCCAUUCUGAAUUUCUGAUAGCACAACUCUUGCAGAUGAGUGGAGCAACUAUGUUUAACCUCUCACUUUUAACAACUGAUGUUUGGGCGGUCGCCAUUUGAGUUUUCCUCUAUCAUCAGCAGGUGAAAAUUUUCCAGUUCUGAAUAUGUGCGGGGUAAAUUAGAUGUAUAAUGCAUCAACAUUGUUAUGUGCAACCGCAGGUUAAUUGGCUCUACUAUCUAGCUUUUGCAGUGGUAGCCAUUGGAUUGAUCAUCUACUCCAUAAACGAGAGUUCAGAUGAUGAGACAGCUGCAAGUACAAUGGAAACUGAAACUCAGUAUGACUAUGAACAACUUUUAUGUGAAUAAACUGGUGGUGCUGUUUAGGACUGGCAAACAAUCAGGAAGAUCACAACUGUUAAUGGGUUAAUAAAGAAAAGUAAGCUCCAGGCAAUGGAAAAUGUUAUUUUGGAAAAUUCAGAUGUGAUGACAGAGCAUGUAUAUUAAAUACUGUAACCAUGGAUCGGUGAAAUAGGGCCUACCCCUGGAACCAGACAAGUUCAUGUGAGAAAUUUUCAGUUGUUUUCUAGCCAUUGCUGCUUCUUAAAUUUUGCAAAUUUGUAUUUUUAAAAUUGGACAGUAGCAUAUGCAUUAUAUUGAAGUGUGAGGAAAUAGGAUAGGAGGUGCACCAGGCCAAAGUUUAGGCCAACUCCAAUUUCCCAAAUAAUGAUUGUAAAUGGUCCAUAUAUGUAUACAUGUGCACAUUUAAGCAUAUUAUUGAAACAAACAUGGUGAUACAUAUUUGAACAUAGGACAAU
Oryza sativa Japonica Group (Japanese rice) is the source of this 1815-nucleotide non-coding RNA. Lineage: Eukaryota; Viridiplantae; Streptophyta; Magnoliopsida; Poales; Poaceae. The record is from RefSeq and is a predicted model, not a curated record.